GACGAACGCUGGCGGCGUGCCUAACACAUGCAAGUCAACUUGACGGAAGGAGCAAUCUGACCGUAGAGUGGCGCAAGGGUGCGUAACGCGUAAGUAACUUGCCCCAAGGUAAGGAAUAACGUCGAGAAAUCGGCGCUAAUACCUCAUAAUGCAGCGGAUCCGCAUGGAUAUGUUGUUAAAGGUUUACCGCCUUGGGAUAGGCUUGCGUCUGAUUAGCUAGUUGGUGUGGUAACGGCACACCAAGGCUACGAUCAGUAACUGGUCUGAGAGGAUGAUCAGUCACACUGGAACUGAGACACGGUCCAGACUCCUACGGGAGGCAGCAGUGAGGAAUAUUGGGCAAUGCUCGAAAGAGUGACCCAGCAACGCCGCGUGGAGGAUGAAGGUAUUCUAUAUCGUAAACUCCUGUGAGAGCAGACGAAAGACAAAUUAUUAAUCUGGAUGACUGUAUGCUCAGAGGAAGCCCCGGCUAACUACGU
Molecule: ribosomal RNA, 479 nt
Filed under: uncultured bacterium
Lineage: Bacteria
Description: bacterial SSU rRNA
Rfam family: Bacterial small subunit ribosomal RNA
Source: RNAcentral